GACGAACGCUGGCGGCGUGCUUAACACAUGCAAGUCGAACGGAAAGGCCCUGCUUUUGUGGGGUGCUCGAGUGGCGAACGGGUGAGUAACACGUGAGUAACCUGCCCUUGACUUUGGGAUAACUUCAGGAAACUGGGGCUAAUACCGGAUAGGAGCUCCUGCUGCAUGGUGGGGGUGGGAAAGUUUCGGCGGUUGGGGAUGGACUCGCGGCUUAUCAGCUUGUUGGUGGGGUAGUGGCUUACCAAGGCUUUGACGGGUAGCCGGCCUGAGGGGGUGACCGGCCACAUUGGGACUGGGAUACGGCCCAGACUCCUACGGGAGGCAGCGGUGGGGAAUAUUGCACAAUGGGCGGAAGCCUGAUGCAGCAACGCCGCGUGCGGGAUGACGGCCUUCGGGUUGUAAACCGCUUUCGCCUGUGACGAAGCGUGAGUGACGGUAAUGGGUAAAGAAGCACCGGCUAACUACGUG
Molecule: ribosomal RNA, 468 nt
Filed under: uncultured bacterium
Lineage: Bacteria
Description: partial 16S ribosomal RNA
Rfam family: Bacterial small subunit ribosomal RNA
Source: RNAcentral